UAUAGUUAUUAGACCCCCUAAUAAUUCCAGUAUUUCGGAUAUUUUAUCCAAGUAUUACUUAUCAGUAUUCAUAUGUUUGACAUAUAAAUAUAAGUGUGUUAUAUAAUUUAUCUUAAAGAUAUAUAUAUAUAUUAGUCUUUAAAUAUUAAAAUAAUUAUUGAUUAUAACUUUAGCAAAAAGAUUAAGGUAUGACUAAAAUUGUGCCAGCAGUCGCGGUUACACAAUUAUAUCUAUUGAUUAUUUUUAGUAAAUAUUAAAUUUAAUUUUAUGUUAAAAAUUUAUUAUUAUUUAGUGGAAUAUUUAAUUUUAAUUCAAGACUUAAAUUUUAUAAUAUAUGAAUGCCAUGUUUUAGACUAGGAUUAGAUACCCUAUUAUUGUGGUAGUAAAACUUAUUACUAAAUUAUUAAUAGAUUUGUUCUUUAAAUUUAAAGGAUUUGGCGGUAAUUUAUCUAUUCAGAGGAACCUGCCCUUUAAUUGAUAAACCACAAGUAAUUUUACUUUUAUUUUUGCUUAUAUACCUCUAUCAUUGAAUAUCUUUAGAAAGAAUGAUUUUCUAAUAGAUUUUUUAAUCUUAAUGUUAGGUCAAGGUUUAGUAAUAUAAAAGUCUGUGGUGGGUUACAAUUUUUAUAUAAGAGGAUAUGUUUAAUGGAUAUAACUUUGAAUUUGGAUUUGAUAGUAAAAGUUUUUUGGUUAAAACUUUGAUUUUGUAAUAAAUUAAGCACAUAUCGCCCGUCGCUCUCAUGGACUGAGAUAAGUCGUAACAAAGUAGAGUCACCGGAAGGUUACCCUAGAUAACUC
This 798-nucleotide non-coding RNA is filed under the name Nesidiocoris tenuis. The record is from RNAcentral. Lineage: Eukaryota; Metazoa; Arthropoda; Insecta; Hemiptera; Miridae.